ACAGGAUUAGAUACCCUGGUAGUCCACACAGUAAACGAUGGCCACUGCUUGUGGGAACCUUCCACGGUUUCUGCGACGCAGCUAACGCAUUAAGUGCCCCGCCUGGGGAGUACGAUCGCAAGAUUAAAACUCAAAGGAAUUGACGGGGCCCCGCACAAGCAGCGGAGCAUGCGGCUUAAUUCGACGCAACGCGAAGAACCUUACCAAGGCUUGACAUAUACAGGAAUAUGGCAGAGAUGUCAUAGCCGCAAGGUCUGUAUACAGGUGGUGCAUGGUUGUCGUCAGCUCGUGUCGUGAGAUGUUGGGUUAAGUCCCGCAACGAGCGCAACCCUCGUUCUGUGUUGCCAGCAUUUAGUUGGGGACUCACAGGAGACUGCCGGGGUCAACUCGGAGGAAGGUGGGGAUGACGUCAAAUCAUCAUGCCCCUUAUGUCUUGGGCUGCACGCAUGCUACAAUGGCUGGUACAAAGGGCUGCAAUACUGCAAAGUGGAGCGAAUCCCAAAAAGCCAGUCUCAGUUCGGAUUGGGGUCUGCAACUCGACCCCAUGAAGUCGGAGUUGCUAGUAAUCGUAGAUCAGCAACGCUACGGUGAAUACGUUCCCGGGGCUUGUACACACCGCCCGUCACAUCACGAAAGUCGGUAACACCCGAAGUCAGUGGCCCAACCGUAAGGGGGGAGCUGCCGAAG
RNAcentral lists this ribosomal RNA (687 nucleotides) under uncultured Actinomycetes bacterium. RNAcentral describes it as "bacterial SSU rRNA". It matches the Rfam family "Bacterial small subunit ribosomal RNA", at positions 772 to 1461 of the family's 1533-position model. The record is from RNAcentral. Lineage: Bacteria; Bacillati; Actinomycetota; Actinomycetes.